CUUAUUAGUCAGUGCUACACCAUAGGAAUGGAAUUUGCAGUUGACAGAAGGAGUCCUGUAUUCCAGCCAUCUGUUCAGGAACCCCCUGACAGCGGCACUUGUUUGGUAGCAAAGUCCUCACUUGUGGCCCAGCCACCCAUCUAUUUGUGCUACCACAUAAGAAACAAAAGCCCUCUCCUCAGCAUCCUGCACCAUCCGGCUGUUUUGCUAUUAUUAGGCUUAUGAGGUCAGAGGACCUCAGUAGAAGCGGAGUCAUACAGCUCAGGACCAGAGGACACAGGAAGCUGGCUCCCUGGGUUUCUUCCUGUUUUAUGGCUCUCUCUUAGAUGUGAAGAGUCAUAUAGGUGAUGUGGCCGCCAACAGGAGAACGGGGAUGGGAGAACGUGUGAAAAAUAUCCACGGAGGUUGUGAAGACCAAAUCCAUCCCUUAUUCUGAUUUGAGUUGCUUUACUCUUGAGCUGUCACUCCAUCGGGGCUAACCUACCAGCUUCCAUUUACUUGGUACAAGGACUUCAGAAGGAGACCCAAUACGACAGGUGCUCGAUUAUUCAGAAACAGCUAUCGCUGACGGACACUCCUGAGCCGGUCAACAGCUCUGCCAAAUGACUACAGAUGUUGACAUGUUGAAAACAUUUGCAGACUACAUGAACCUGGAACUGAGUUGCUGGAAUCAGCCACGAGAGCCCGAGAAGAAUGGAGAUGGCUUGUGAUUUCUCUCAUGAGACAGAGACCUUGCUCUUCUUCUAUUUCUAGAAAGUGACUUGCUCUGGCUUCCAGGGAAGCUUCUCCUUGGAGAUCUUCGCCGAGGAAGAGGAUGCCUCCUAUAGCAAUCAUCUAGAGGACGACAAACCCAAGAGGGAGGUGGGCCACAAUUCCGACUUCUUUUUCCAUCAUUCGACAGUUCCACUCUUAUGUGGCAGCCUUGUAGUGUUCUUCCAUCUACCUCUUGGACCAAGUCACCAGCAUCUCAGGGAUCCUCAAAAGCAAAGCCA
Molecule: long non-coding RNA, 992 nt
Filed under: Cricetulus griseus (Chinese hamster)
Lineage: Eukaryota; Metazoa; Chordata; Mammalia; Rodentia; Cricetidae
Description: lncRNA (ENSCGRG00015033403.1)
Source: RNAcentral